CACGUAGGGCGCGAGCGUUGUCCGGAAUUAUUGGGCGUAAAGAGCUCGUAGGCGGUUUGUCGCGUCUGCUGUGAAAACUGGAGGCUCAACCUCCAGCCUGCAGUGGGUACGGGCAGACUAGAGUGCGGUAGGGGAGAUUGGAAUUCCUGGUGUAGCGGUGGAAUGCGCAGAUAUCAGGAGGAACACCGAUGGCGAAGGCAGAUCUCUGGGCCGUAACUGACGCUGAGGAGCGAAAGCAUGGGGAGCGAACAGG
Molecule: ribosomal RNA, 253 nt
Filed under: uncultured bacterium
Lineage: Bacteria
Description: partial 16S ribosomal RNA
Rfam family: Bacterial small subunit ribosomal RNA
Source: RNAcentral